UGGCGGACGGGUGAGUAAUGUCUGGGAAACUGCCUGAUGGAGGGGGAGUAACUACUGGAAACGGUAGCUAAUACCGCAUAACGUCGCAAGACCAAAGAGGGGGACCUUCGGGCCUCUUGCCAUCGGAUGUGCCCAGAUGGGAUUAGCUAGUAGGUGGGGUAACGGCUCACCUAGGCGACGAUCCCUAGCUGGUCUGAGAGGAUGACCAGCCACACUGGAACUGAGACACGGUCCAGACUCCUACGGGAGGCAGCAUG
RNAcentral lists this ribosomal RNA (257 nucleotides) under uncultured bacterium. RNAcentral describes it as "partial 16S ribosomal RNA". It matches the Rfam family "Bacterial small subunit ribosomal RNA", at positions 96 to 353 of the family's 1533-position model. The record is from RNAcentral.